UGAUAUGGACUACCAGUGCAUUUGUGAUACGGUUUCUAAGAGUCGAGUUGUUUGGGAAUGCAGCUCAAAGUGGGUGGUAAAUUCCAUCUAAGGCUAAAUAUAAGUGAGAGACCGAUAGCAUACAAGUACCGUGAGGGAAAGAUGAAAAGAACUUUGAAAAUAGAGUUAACAGUACGUGAAAUUGCUGAAAGGGAAACGUUUGAAGUUAGUAUUGUAUUCGUUGGAUCAGCUUCGCAAGAGGUCUAUUCCGAUGAUAAGCAAGUCAACAUCAGUCUAUGAGUGUUGGAAAAAGGGCUCGAGAAUGUAGCAAUUUAAUUGUGUUAUAGCUUGGGACCUCGAAUACAACGCUCUUGAUUGAGGAACGCGUAGUAAGCUUUGAGCGGGUUCGAAAGAGCCUCCUUACUAUGGAUGUUGGUGAAAUAACUUUAAGCGACCCGUCUUGAAACACGGACCAAGGAGUCUAACAUGCUUGCGAGUAUUAGGGCGUUGAAACCCGAAUGCGUAAUGAAAGUGAUUUCAGAUGUGAUCCGCAAGGUGCAACAUCGGCCGGUCCUGAUUAUUUAUAUGACGGUACUGAGCAAGAGCAAGUAUGUUAGGACCCGAAAGAUGGUGAACUAUGCCUGGAUAGGGUGAAGUCAGAGGAAACUCUGAUGGAAGCUCGUAGCGGUUCUGACGUGCAAAUCGAUCGUAGAAUCUGGGUAUAGGGGCGAAAG
This 713-nucleotide ribosomal RNA is filed under the name Melampsora medusae f. sp. deltoidis. RNAcentral's name for it is "eukaryotic LSU rRNA". It matches the Rfam family "Eukaryotic large subunit ribosomal RNA", at positions 224 to 929 of the family's 3401-position model. The record is from RNAcentral. Lineage: Eukaryota; Fungi; Basidiomycota; Pucciniomycetes; Pucciniales; Melampsoraceae.